RNAcentral lists this ribosomal RNA (331 nucleotides) under uncultured eukaryote. Its description in RNAcentral is "partial 18S ribosomal RNA". It matches the Rfam family "Eukaryotic small subunit ribosomal RNA", at positions 1470 to 1796 of the family's 1831-position model. The record is from RNAcentral.
CCCUUAGAUGUUCUGGGCCGCACGCGCGCUACACUGUUCGACGCAGCGAGUCUUAACCUUGACCGAAAGGUUUGGGUAAUCUUCAGCAAAGUCGAACGUGAUGGGGAUCGAUCAUUGCAAUUAUUGAUCGUGAACGAGGAAUUCCUAGUAAGUGCAAGUCAUCAGCUUGCGCUGAUUACGUCCCUGCCCUUUGUACACACCGCCCGUCGCUACUACCGAUUGAAUGGUUUAGUGAGAUCUCUGGAUUGACGCUGGCUAGGGGGCGACCCUUGGCCAGGCUGUCGAGAAACUGCCCAAACUUGAUCAUUUAGAGGAAGUAAAAGUCGUAACA